RNAcentral lists this ribosomal RNA (349 nucleotides) under Escherichia coli. Its description in RNAcentral is "partial 23S ribosomal RNA". It matches the Rfam family "Bacterial large subunit ribosomal RNA", at positions 1569 to 1898 of the family's 2925-position model. The record is from RNAcentral. Lineage: Bacteria; Pseudomonadati; Pseudomonadota; Gammaproteobacteria; Enterobacterales; Enterobacteriaceae.
ACGAGGCACUACGGUGCUGAAGCAACAAAUGCCCUGCUUCCAGGAAAAGCCUCUAAGCAUCAGGUAACAUCAAAUCGUACCCCAAACCGACACAGGUGGUCAGGUAGAGAAUACCAAGGCGCUUGAGAGAACUCGGGUGAAGGAACUAGGCAAAAUGGUGCCGUAACUUCGGGAGAAGGCACGCUGAUAUGUAGGUGAAGUCCCUCGCGGAUGGAGCUGAAAUCAGUCGAAGAUACCAGCUGGCUGCAACUGUUUAUUAAAAACACAGCACUGUGCAAACACGAAAGUGGACGUAUACGGUGUGACGCCUGCCCGGUGCCGGAAGGUUAAUUGAUGGGGUUAGCCGCAA